GAUGAACGCUGGCGGCGUGCUUAACACAUGCAAGUCGAACGGAAAGGCCCAAGCUUGCUUGGGUACUCGAGUGGCGAAAGGGUGAGUAACACGUGGGUGAUCUGCCCUGCACUUCGGGAUAAGCCUGGGAAACUGGGUCUAAUACCGGAUAGGACGAUGGUUUGGAUGCCAUUGUGGAAAGUUUUUUCGGUGUGGGAUGAGCUCGCGGCCUAUCAGCUUGUUGGUGGGGUAAUGGCCUACCAAGGCGUCGACGGGUAGCCGGCCUGAGAGGGUGUACGGCCACAUUGGGACUGAGAUACGGCCCAGACUCCUACGGGAGGCAGCAGUGGGGAAUAUUGCACAAUGGGCGCAAGCCUGAUGCAGCGACGCCGCGUGGGGGAUGACGGCCUUCGGGUUGUAAACUCCUUUCGCUAGGGACGAAGCGUUUUGUGACGGUACCUGGAGAAGAAGCACCGGCUAACUACGUG
RNAcentral lists this ribosomal RNA (467 nucleotides) under uncultured bacterium. RNAcentral's name for it is "partial 16S ribosomal RNA". It matches the Rfam family "Bacterial small subunit ribosomal RNA", at positions 28 to 507 of the family's 1533-position model. The record is from RNAcentral.